AACAAACGCUGGCGGCGUGCCUAAUACAUGCAAGUCGAACGAGGUAGCAAUACCUAGUGGCGCACGGGUGAGUAACACGUGGAUAAUCUGCCUUAGAGUGGGGGAUAACUCUCCGAAAGGAGAGCUAAUACCGCAUAAGACCACAGUGACUUCGGUCACAGGGGUUAAAGGAGCAAUUCGCUCUAAGAUGAGUCUGCGUCAGAUUAGCUAGUUGGUGGGGUAAUGGCCUACCAAGGCGACGAUCUGUAGCUGGUCUGAGAGGAUGAUCAGCCACACUGGAACUGAGACACGGUCCAGACUCCUACGGGAGGCAGCAGUAGGAAUAUUGCACAAUGGGGAAACCCUGAUGCAGCAACGCCGCGUGAGCGACGAAGGCCU
Molecule: ribosomal RNA, 378 nt
Filed under: uncultured bacterium
Lineage: Bacteria
Description: bacterial SSU rRNA
Rfam family: Bacterial small subunit ribosomal RNA
Source: RNAcentral